RNAcentral lists this ribosomal RNA (387 nucleotides) under Triticum aestivum (bread wheat). RNAcentral's name for it is "partial small subunit ribosomal RNA". The record is from RNAcentral. Lineage: Eukaryota; Viridiplantae; Streptophyta; Magnoliopsida; Poales; Poaceae.
AUGUCGUACAACAACCAGGAGUUAGUGUGUUGGAAUGUGAGGGGACUCAAUAGCCCCGCUAGAAAGAAGGCUCUUAGGGAAUUUGUAGAAUCUCUAUGGGUAGCUAUCAUUUGUAUCCUAGAAACUAAGUUGGAGACGGUGGAUCAAUUUGUAAUAAUGCAAUGUUUAGGGCUAGUCUAUGAUGGCUUCUACUACUUGCCGGCUUCGAAUACUCGGGGUGGGAUCUUUGUGGCGUGGGAUUCCACGAAGGUGCAAUUGACAAACUUUGUCAACGAUACUAACUUCACAACAGGAUAUGUCUCUCCCUUGGAGGGACCGUCGUGGUGGCUCACAGUGGUGUAUGGACCGCAAGAGGAUGCCCAAAAGAUCAUAUUUUGGAAGAGCUAG